CUACAAGCCAAGGAAUGCCAAUGAUUGCAGGAGCCACCAGAAGUUAGGAAGAGGCCCAGCAGGAUUCUUCCCUAGAGACCCGAGGGAGCCUGGCUCUGCCAGCACCUUGGCAUCAGACUUCUCUCCUCCAGAGCUACGAGGUCCACUCCUUGCUGACUGCAUGGCCUUGAGCAAGAUACUCAACCUUCUGAGGCUCAGUUUCACCAUCUAAAAAUGAGGAAGAUACUAAUACCUAGCAAACAGAAUAGUGGUUAAUUUCACCAACCAGUUAAAAGUCCUCUUACAUGACCUGUGUUUCCUUUGCUUCUACGUUGCUUUUUAAAACAACGGCCUUUCAAAAGGGGGAGAAAUGUUUCAGAAUCCUUAACAAUUCAGCUUGAACAAAAGAUGUUCCUUUUGUGGAUACUACUACCCUGGGAAGAAAUUCAAUGUCAGGAGGGAAACCAUGGGAGACUAGGAGCUGUUGUUAUAUAUUAGGAAGGAAUGAUAUAAUAAAAACAUGUUCUUAGAAAAAGACAGCCACGU
Bubalus bubalis (water buffalo) is the source of this 525-nucleotide long non-coding RNA. RefSeq lists it as uncharacterized. The transcript is spliced from 4 exons. The record is from RefSeq and is a predicted model, not a curated record. Lineage: Eukaryota; Metazoa; Chordata; Mammalia; Artiodactyla; Bovidae.